AUGCCCUCCUGGGCCCUCUUCAUGAUCACCUCCUGCCUCCUCCUGGCCCCUCAAAACCUGGCCCAAGUCAGCAGCCAAGAUGUCUCCUUGCUGGCAUCAGACUCAGAGCCCCUGAAGUGUUUCUCCCGAACAUUUGAGGACCUCACUUGCUUCUGGGAUGAGGAAGAGGCAGCGCCCAGUGGGACAUACCAGCUGCUGUAUGCCUACCCGCGGGAGAAGCCCCGUGCUUGCCCCCUGAGUUCCCAGAGUGUGCCCCACUUUGGAACCCGAUACGUGUGCCAGUUUCCAGACCAGGAGGAAGUGCGUCUCUUCUUUCCGCUGCACCUCUGGGUGAAGAAUGUGGUCCUAAACCAGACUCGGACUCAGCGAGUCCUCUUUGUGGACAGUGUAGGCCUGCCGGCUCCCCCCAGUAUCAUCAAGGCCAUGGGUGGGAGCCAGCCAGGGGAACUUCAGAUCAGCUGGGAGGAGCCAGCUCCAGAAAUCAGUGAUUUCCUGAGGUAUGAACUCCGCUAUGGCCCCAGAAAUCCCAAGAACUCCACUGGUCCCACGGUCAUACAGCUGAUCGCCACAGAAACCUGCUGCCCUGCUCUGCAGAGGCCACACUCAGCCUCUGCUCUGGACCAGUCUCCAUGUGCUCAGCCCACAAUGCCCUGGCAAGAUGGACCAAAGCAGACCUCCCCAAGUAGAGAAGCUUCAGCUCUGACAGCAGUGGGUGGAAGCUGCCUCAUCUCAGGACUCCAGCCUGGCAACUCCUACUGGCUGCAGCUGCGCAGCGAACCUGAUGGGAUCUCCCUCAGUGGCUCCUGGGGAUCCUGGUCCCUCCCUGUGACUGUGGACCUGCCUGGAGAUGCAGUGGCAAUUGGACUGCAAUGCUUUACCUUGGACCUUAAGAAUGUUACCUGUCAAUGGCAGCAACAGGACCAUGCUAGCUCCCAAGGCUUCUUCUACCACAGCAGGGCACGGUGCUGCCCCAGAGACAGGUACCCCAUCUGGGAGAACUGCGAAGAGGAAGAGAAAACAAAUCCAGGAUUACAGACCCCACAGUUCUCUCGCUGCCACUUCAAGUCACGAAAUGACAGCAUUAUUCACAUCCUUGUGGAGGUGACCACAGCCCCGGGUGCUGUUCACAGCUACCUGGGCUCCCCUUUCUGGAUCCACCAGGCUGUGCGCCUCCCCACCCCAAACUUGCACUGGAGGGAGAUCUCCAGCGGGCAUCUGGAAUUGGAGUGGCAGCACCCAUCGUCCUGGGCAGCCCAAGAGACCUGCUAUCAACUCCGAUACACAGGAGAAGGCCAUCAGGACUGGAAGGUGCUGGAGCCGCCUCUCGGGGCCCGAGGAGGGACCCUGGAGCUGCGCCCGCGAUCUCGCUACCGUUUACAGCUGCGCGCCAGGCUCAACGGCCCCACCUACCAAGGUCCCUGGAGCUCGUGGUCGGACCCAGCUAGGGUGGAGACAGCCACCGAGACCGCCUGGAUCUCCUUGGUGACGGCUCUGCAUCUAGUGCUGGGCCUCAGCGCCGUCCUGGGCCUGCUGCUGCUGAGGUGGCAGUUUCCUGCACACUACAGGUACCGCCCCCGCCAGGCAGGAGACUGGCGGUGGACCGGGUGGAGCCUAAGGCCUCUAAACAGGCAUUCUUGGUUCGCUCUGUGACCCCAGAUCUCCGGCCACGGCCCGUGCGCACCUACAGCUUCGCCACUUCCUGCACGUCACCUCUGGGACUCGCCGCGGCUCCUUACACUCUAA
This 1743-nucleotide small RNA is filed under the name Pongo abelii (Sumatran orangutan). RNAcentral describes it as "retained intron". Lineage: Eukaryota; Metazoa; Chordata; Mammalia; Primates; Hominidae. The record is from RNAcentral.